RNAcentral lists this ribosomal RNA (253 nucleotides) under uncultured bacterium. RNAcentral describes it as "partial 16S ribosomal RNA". It matches the Rfam family "Bacterial small subunit ribosomal RNA", at positions 524 to 776 of the family's 1533-position model. The record is from RNAcentral.
UACGAACCGUACAAACGUUAUUCGGAAUCACUGGGCUUAAAGUGUGCGUAGGCUGCCAUGUAAGUGAGGUGUGAAAUCCCUCGGCUCAACCGAGGAACUGCGCUUCAUACUGCAUGGCUUGAGGGAGACAGGGGUAAGCGGAACUGAUGGUGGAGCGGUGAAAUGCGUUGAUAUCAUCAGGAACACCGGUGGCGAAAGCGGCUUACUGGGUCUCUUCUGACGCUGAGGUACGAAAGCUAGGGUAGCGAACGGG